This 253-nucleotide ribosomal RNA is filed under the name uncultured bacterium. RNAcentral describes it as "partial 16S ribosomal RNA". It matches the Rfam family "Bacterial small subunit ribosomal RNA", at positions 524 to 776 of the family's 1533-position model. The record is from RNAcentral.
GACAGAGGGUGCAAACGUUGUUCGGAAUUACUGGGCGUAAAGCGUGCGCAGGCGGUGAUGUAAGACAGUUGUGAAAUCCCCGGGCUCAACCUGGGACCUGCAUUUGUGACUGCAUCGCUAGAGUACGGUAGAGGGGGAUGGAAUUCCGCGUGUAGCAGUGAAAUGCGUAGAUAUGCGGAGGAACACCGAUGGCGAAGGCAAUCCCCUGGACCUGUACUGACGCUCAUGCACGAAAGCGUGGGGAGCAAACAGG